UACAGAGGGUGCAAGCGUUAAUCGGAAUUACUGGGCGUAAAGCGUGCGUAGACGGUAGCGUAAGUCGGGUGUGAAAGCCCCGGGCUCAACCUGGGAAUGGCAUUCGAGACUGCUCUGCUAGGGUGCGGAAGAGGGGAGCGGAAUUUCCGGUGUAGCGGUGAAAUUCGUAGAUAUCGGGAGGAACACCAGUGGCGAAGGCGGCUCUCUGGACAGGUACUGACGCUGAGACGCGAAAGCGUGGGUAGCAAACAGG
This 253-nucleotide ribosomal RNA is filed under the name uncultured bacterium. RNAcentral's name for it is "partial 16S ribosomal RNA". It matches the Rfam family "Bacterial small subunit ribosomal RNA", at positions 524 to 776 of the family's 1533-position model. The record is from RNAcentral.